This 125-nucleotide small RNA is filed under the name Martinezella lusitana. RNAcentral's name for it is "Rhizobium lusitanum ar14". It matches the Rfam family "Alphaproteobacterial ar14". Rfam says of the family: Smr14C2 was renamed NfeR1 (Nodule Formation Efficiency RNA) highly expressed in salt stress and during the symbiotic interaction on legume roots. The record is from RNAcentral. Lineage: Bacteria; Pseudomonadati; Pseudomonadota; Alphaproteobacteria; Hyphomicrobiales; Rhizobiaceae.
UCGCUUGGCAGACACCUACUCCUCCUCCCAAGGUCGUCUGCUCGAACAGCGCCUCUCCUCCUCCCGAGCGCUGUUCAACCAUUGACGAAAGCCUGCCGCACCUCCUCCCGCGGCAGGCUUUUUUC